UCGGGUAUGGUGUAACGGCUAACAUUGCCGCCUCUCAAAUGCCCUUGCUAAAGAUACGCGGCAGCUCGGGGUUCGAUUCCCCGUACCCGAA
Lyophyllum atratum is the source of this 91-nucleotide non-coding RNA. The record is from the annotation of a GenBank genome assembly. Lineage: Eukaryota; Fungi; Basidiomycota; Agaricomycetes; Agaricales; Lyophyllaceae.